UUUAAAAGACCUAGCAAUAGGUAUGCUUAGCGAGGAGCUUGCGUCACAUUAGUUAGUUGGUGGGGUAAAGGCCUACCAAGACUAUGAUGUGUAGCCGCGCUGAGAGGUUGAUCGGCCACAUUGGGACUGAGACACGGCCCAAACUCCUACGGGAGGCAGCAGUAGGGAAUUAUCGGCAAUGGAGGAAACUCUGACCGAGCAACGCCGCGUGAACGAUGAAGUAUUUCGGUACGUAAAGUUCUAUUAUUAGGGAAGAAUAAAUGAUGGAAAAAUCAUUCUGACGGUACCUAAUGAAUAAGCCCCGGCUAACUAUGUGCCAGCAGCCGGGGUAAUACAUAGGGCGCAAGCGUUAUCCGGAAUUAUUGGGCGUAAAGGGUGCGUAGGCGGUUAAAUAAGUUUAUGGUCUAAGUGCAAUGCUCAACAUUGUGAUGCUAUAAUAACUGUUUAGCUAGAGUAAGAUAGAGGCAAGUGGAAUUCCAUGUCUAGUGGUACAUUGCGUAUAUAUAUGGAGGAACACCAGUAGCGAAGGCGGCUUGCUGGGUCUAUACUGACGCUGAGGCAGGAAAGCGUGGGGACCAAACAGGAUUAGAUACCCUGGUAGUCCACGCCGUAUACGAUGAGUACUAAACGUUGGGUAAUACCAGUGUUGAAGAUAACACAUUAAGUACUCCGCCUGAGUAGUACGUACGCAAGUAUGAAACUUAAAGGAAUUUACCGGACUCCGCACAAGCGGUGGAUCAUGUUGUUUAAUUCGAAGGUACCCGAAAGACCUCACCAGGUCUUGACAUGCUUCUGCAUAGCUGUAGAAACACAGUGGAGGUUAUCAGUUGCACAGGUGGUGCAUGGUUGUCGUCAGCUCGUGUCUUGAGAUGUUGGGUUAAGUCCCGCAACGAGCGCAACCCUUAUUGUUAGUUACCAGCACGUAAUGGUGGCGACUUUAGCAAGACUGCCAGUGAUAUAUUGGAGGAAGGUGGGGACGACGUCAAAUCAUCAUGCCCCUUAUGACCUGCGCUACAAACGUGAUACAAUGGCUGUUACAAACGGUAGCUGAAGCGCAAGUUUUAGGCGAAUCUCAAAGAAACAGUCUCAGUUCGGAUUGAAGUCUGCAACUCGACUUCAUGAAGUUGGAAUCGCUAGUAAUCGCGAAUCAGCAUGUCGCGGUGAAUACG
Molecule: ribosomal RNA, 1169 nt
Filed under: Aster yellows phytoplasma
Lineage: Bacteria; Bacillati; Mycoplasmatota; Mollicutes; Acholeplasmatales; Acholeplasmataceae
Description: bacterial SSU rRNA
Rfam family: Bacterial small subunit ribosomal RNA
Source: RNAcentral